GCAGCAAAGUGGCUGGAGGCAUGAGGAUGUUGAUAUACUUGAAGACUCAAGAUACUGAAACCAACCUAGACACUGAGCCUGGGACCUGCUCAUGUCUGGUGCUCAUGUCUCAUGCUUCUGGAGACACCAGCCUGCAAGCAGAUCCCAACCCACCAACGCAGAAACUGGCUCUUUGUUACCUAGAUUCAACACGGAUGACACUGGCUUUCCUAGCCGGGUGGUGGCACACACCUUUCCCAGCACUUGGGAGGCAGAAGCAGACGGAUCUCUGUGAGGUGCGGACCAGCCUGAUCUACAGAGUGAGUUCUAGGAAAGCCAAGGCUACACAGAGAAAUCCUGUCUCAACAAACAAACACCCACCAAAAAGUGCUGGGAUGAUUGUGUGUCACUCCACAGUUUGAUAGCCAUGGCACACAUGGAUCUGCUUUCUGAAGGUCUACCAACAUUCCAGUUAGUCACCAUCUUCUCUUACUCCUCAUGACCAUUAUGGUUACUGAGAAAUGAAGCAAGACUUACGGCUCGCCGUCCAACUGGGAAACUUCCAAAGCAGGUUCCAAGAACGCAGUUGUGUUGGCUUCUCUGUUGCCAUGGACCUCGGCUGGCACUGGCUCCUCUCAGAGGCAAAGGCCAC
Molecule: long non-coding RNA, 631 nt
Filed under: Mus caroli (Ryukyu mouse)
Lineage: Eukaryota; Metazoa; Chordata; Mammalia; Rodentia; Muridae
Description: lncRNA (MGP_CAROLIEiJ_G0006038.1)
Source: RNAcentral